Molecule: ribosomal RNA, 926 nt
Filed under: uncultured archaeon
Lineage: Archaea
Description: bacterial SSU rRNA
Rfam family: Archaeal small subunit ribosomal RNA
Source: RNAcentral
GCCCUUUUCCGGUUGAUCCUGCCGGACCUGACUGCUAUCGGAUUGAUACUAAGCCAUGCGAGUCUUUGUAGUAAUACAAGGCAUACGGCUCAGUAACGCGUAGUCAACCUACCCUAUGGACAAGAAUAAUCUCGGGAAACUGAGCAUAAUUCUUGAUAGAUCAUAAUGCCUGGAAUGGUUUAUGGUUAAAAUGAUUCGUCGCCAUAGGAUGGGACUGCGGCCUAUCAGCUUGUUGGUGAGGUAAUGGCCCACCAAGGCGAUUACAGGUACGGGCUCUGAGAGGAGAAGCCCGGAGAUGGGUACUGAGACAAGGACCCAGGCCCUAUGGGGCGCAGCAGGCGAGAAAACUUUGCAAUGUGCGAAAGCACGACAAGGUUAGUCCGAGUGAUUUCUGCUAAAGAGAUCUUUUGCUAGUUAUAAAACCACUAGUGAAUAAGGGGUGGGCAAGUUCUGGUGUCAGCCGCCGCGGUAAAACCAGCACCUCAAGUGGUCAGGAUGAUUAUUGGGCCUAAAGCAUCCGUAGCCGGCUCUGUAAGUUUUCGGUUAAAUCUAUGCGCUCAACGUAUGGGCUGCCGAAAAUACUGCAGAGAUAGGGAGUGGGAGAGGUAGACGGUACUCGGUAGGAAGGGGUAAAAUCCUUUGAUCUAUCGAUGACCACCUGUGGCGAAGGCGGUCUACCAGAACACGUUCGACGGUGAGGGAUGAAAGCUGGGGGAGCAAACCGGAUUAGAUACCCGGGUAGUCCCAGCUGUAAACGAUGCAGACUCGAUGAUGCAUUGGCAUAUAGCCAGUGCAGUGUCGCAGGGAAGCCGUUAAGUCUGCCGCCUGGGAAGUACGUACGCAAGUAUGAAACUUAAAGGAAUUGGCGGGGGAGCACCACAAGGGGUGAAGCCUGCGGUUCAAUUGGAUUCAACGCCGGGAAGGGC